Molecule: long non-coding RNA, 2798 nt
Filed under: Homo sapiens (human)
Lineage: Eukaryota; Metazoa; Chordata; Mammalia; Primates; Hominidae
Description: VIRMA divergent transcript, transcript variant 5 (VIRMA-DT)
Source: RNAcentral
GUCGUUCCUCCGCGUUACAGAGCUACAGCGGUCUCCGGGUGGCGAAGUGCGGAGACGGGGUUUUGGAGACGGUGGAUGGAGGAGGGGGAGGGAAAGCUGCCAACUUUGGAUACCAACCCCGUACACCCACCGAAGGGGAUGUCCCACUUUUUCCAGCGCUGGGAGCAAAAAGAUAACAGUGAGCGAGGUUGAAAAAAACAGGGUCUUGCUUCGUUGCCCAGCCUGGUCUCAAACUCUUGGCUUCAAGCAAUCCUCCUGCCUCAGCCUCCCAAAGUGCUGUGAUUAUAGGCCACCUGACAGUGAAAAGAGCAAUUUGAAGAAAAACAAAAUUUAUCUUCAAUGUGAAAAGCAAUUUAUAAAAAUCCGAAUACUUGCCAGGAGCAACUUGACAAAAAAGACAAAGGUGGUAGAAGAAAUGUAACCAGCCCACAAUUCCAAUGUUGAUAACAGAUGAGCUCCCUUUCAAGGUGACUGACAUUUACACAAGUACACAGAGCAAGAAGAAGGUCUGAGUGAACUGCCAAGCAUUUUAACUUCUCCUGAGACCAAGUACAUCAACAGUUCUCUUGGAAAAGAACAACUGAUUUGGGAGUCUAGCAGACUGCCAGCUGCAAGACAUUCAUCCAGCAUCAGGAACACAAUGGGCCUUCAUUUGCCUGCCUUUCUGAGGGCACCAAUCAAAAGUAACAGCUGCCACCUUUUUCUAUGAGACUUGAUUAUAAUUUUCUAUGGCCAAGGGUUUGCUGUGACACUUCCACAUCAUUCUUCAGUAUGUAGUCCAGAGAUUAGCUACAGAUUCAAGAAACACAGACUGUAAACUAUUAUAUACAGACAUAUCUCAAAAUAAGCAUACCCAUUAGUGCCAGCUGCCCUGAAAGACUGAAUGACCCCAGCUAUUUUCCAAAUGUUUUUUCAGAAAGCCAUGAACACACCUUUCUGGGAUCCUAUCUAUUUCAAAGACAGGCAAAGCUCUGUGGUUCAGUUCCACCACCCAGUACCAAGCCCACAGUAUGCAGACCAUACGCCUUACACAUGGCCUUUUCUCUUUAUGUAAUUGCUGUACCAUAUUCAGCAGAUCUAGACUGACUCAAAGCAUGUUCCCUCAAGAAGCUCCACAGAAAAAAAGGUUUCUGUGAUCAAAAAUCAUUUGGGAAAUGCUGCAAACCCUAUCUGCCUCUUAGAGCUUAACCAUGCAUGUCGGGGCAUAAUAUAAACCUUUUCCAGUCUGGGCCACAGAGUGAGACCCCACCUCUAAAAUAAUAAAUCAAUAAACUCUUGAGAAGUACACAGAAAAGAAACUUCUGUAACUUUUUAGGUCUUAAUUACAAGCAAUUGUAGCUUAAUCUAAACUUGCUCUUCACUUUAUUUCUAUGCUCUUGAAAACUAGUGACAUAAGCCUUAUGAAUUUUUUGUUUGUUUGUUUCUUCUUUUUUUAAGAGAGAGACAGGGUCUCAUUCUGUUGCUCAGGUUGGAGUGCAGAGGCACAAUCAUAGCUCACCGUAACCUUGAAUUCCUAGUCUCAAGUAAUCCUCCCAUCUCAGCCUCCCUAAUAACUAGGACUACAGGCACAUACCACCACAUCUGGCUAGUGUGUGUGUGUGUGUGUGUGUGUGUGUGUGUGUAAAGACAGGGGUCUCAUUAUGUUCCCCAGGCUGGUCUUGAACUCCUGGGCUUAAGCGAUCCUCCCACCGCAGCCUCCCAAAACUUUGGGAUUACAGGCAUGAGCCACUACACCUGGCUGGAUUAUUCUUUCUUUAAAAAAAUUUUUUUGGCCGGGCGCCGUGACUGUAAUCCCGGCACUUUGAGGGGCCGAGGCGGGCGAAUCACGAGGUCAGGAGAUAGAGACCAUCCUGGCUAACACGGUGAAACCCCGUCUCUACUAAAAAAAAAUACAAAAAAUUAGCCGGGCGAGGUGGCGGGCGCCUGUAGUCCCAGCUACUCGGGAGGCUGAGGCAGGAGAAUGGCGUGAACCCGGGGGGCGGAGCCUGCAGUGAGCCGAGAUCGCGCCCUGGGCGACAGCGAGACUCCGUCUCAAAAAAAAAUAAAUAAAUAAAAACAAAAAUUUUAAGCAUAAAUACAAAGGUUAGGUAGAUUUAAAGAUGGCCGGUAGCAUGAAGUGAGCUGUCUAAAAAGUUGCUUUUACAUAAGAACUUUAUGUUACUUGAUGAGCAAGUAUUAAUUGGGCUCUCUGUCUCUUCUUCUCUCUCCCUCUUUCUCUCUCUCUCUCUCUCUGGAUCCACUUUCCCUCCUGCAUCAGGGAGUCUACUCCUAUGUAAAUCUUCUGCAGGUUGUGCAGUGGACUUCACCUAGUCUCCCAUCUCCAGCUAAUUUGGCCAAGAAUAGUCACCUGGCGCAAGGUGGGGAGGGAGCUCUCAAUUGGCCAGCAACUUCUGACGUGUGACCUGACUGAACAAUGAGAGGCUCGAGUGAAAUUACCAGCUGGUAGUAGGACAGAGGAUAUAGAUACAUGGAAUGGAGCUGAGCCAAAUUAAUGACAAAGGACUAGACAAGAAUGACUGUUGAUGAUCACCUAUGCUGAGAUCACAAAGCUGCCCCGAGUCCAGAAGCAGGUUCACUGAGGGAGGCUCAACCAUGUUACCAAUCUUGUUUGAGAUUAAUGUUCCUUGUUGUAAACCUCAAGUCUGUUUCUUGCAAUCAAACCAUUCUAAAUUGAAACAACUACUUAGAAAGUGUUUCUAUGGGUUCAGUGGGACAUUUCAACCAAAUGAAAUAUGAUAAUGAUCUUAAAUGAACUAACAAUAGUGUUGCAGAAAUAAAAUACAAAUACCAGAAAGAUA